GACUGACAGAAAUCAUAAGGUACAUAUUUUCUGUCACAUAUCUGAAAUAUAAAUCACAAAAUUCCGUUGGAAGAAACAUACUUUUUCUUUCAUGAAAAUUUCUCCAUUAAAACACAUUUUGCAGUUGAAUAAAUCUUAAAUAUGACUGCCCUGUUAAGAGGUGUUUUUAUUGUUGGUGCUAAAAGAACACCAUUUGGAACAUUUGGUGGCAAACUGAAAGAUUUUACAGCUACUCACCUUGGUGUCUUAGCGAGCAUUGCUGCUCUUGAAAAUGCCAAAGUGAAACCAGAGCAAGUGAAUUCAGUAACGUUUGGUUGCGUGAAUCAGGUAAA
Molecule: long non-coding RNA, 332 nt
Organism: Stegodyphus dumicola
Lineage: Eukaryota; Metazoa; Arthropoda; Arachnida; Araneae; Eresidae
Gene: yip2
Source: RefSeq, a predicted model, not a curated record